AGUGAACGCUGGCGGUAGGCCUAACACAUGCAAGUCGAACGGCAGCACAGUAAGAGCUUGCUCUUACGGGUGGCGAGUGGCGGACGGGUGAGGAAUACAUCGGAAUCUACUUUUUCGUGGGGGAUAACGUAGGGAAACUUACGCUAAUACCGCAUACGACCUACGGGUGAAAGCAGGGGAUCUUCGGACCUUGCGCGAUUGAAUGAGCCGAUGUCGGAUUAGCUAGUUGGCGGGGUAAAGGCCCACCAAGGCGACGAUCCGUAGCUGGUCUGAGAGGAUGAUCAGCCACACUGGAACUGAGACACGGUCCAGACUCCUACGGGAGGCAGCAGUGGGGAAUAUUGGACAAUGGGCGCAAGCCUGAUCCAGCCAUACCACGUGGGUGAAGAAGGCCUUCGGGUUGUAAAGCCCUUUUGUUGGGAAAGAAAAGCAGCAGGUUAAUACCCCGCUGUUCUGACGGUACCCAAAGAAUAAGCACGGGCUAACUUCGUG
This 492-nucleotide ribosomal RNA is filed under the name uncultured bacterium. Its description in RNAcentral is "partial 16S ribosomal RNA". It matches the Rfam family "Bacterial small subunit ribosomal RNA", at positions 29 to 507 of the family's 1533-position model. The record is from RNAcentral.